Molecule: ribosomal RNA, 610 nt
Filed under: Kocuria flava
Lineage: Bacteria; Bacillati; Actinomycetota; Actinomycetes; Micrococcales; Micrococcaceae
Description: bacterial SSU rRNA
Rfam family: Bacterial small subunit ribosomal RNA
Source: RNAcentral
AAAGGGUUUUACUGGUUUUGGAUGGGCUCACGGCCUAUCAGCUUGUUGGUGGGGUAAUGGCCUACCAAGGCGACGACGGGUAGCCGGCCUGAGAGGGUGACCGGCCACACUGGGACUGAGACACGGCCCAGACUCCUACGGGAGGCAGCAGUGGGGAAUAUUGCACAAUGGGCGCAAGCCUGAUGCAGCGACGCCGCGUGAGGGAUGACGGCCUUCGGGUUGUAAACCUCUUUCAGCAGGGAAGAAGCCACAAGUGACGGUACCUGCAGAAGAAGCGCCGGCUAACUACGUGCCAGCAGCCGCGGUAAUACGUAGGGCGCAAGCGUUGUCCGGAAUUAUUGGGCGUAAAGAGCUCGUAGGCGGUUUGUCGCGUCUGCUGUGAAAGCCCGGGGCUCAACCCCGGGUCUGCAGUGGGUACGGGCAGACUAGAGUGCAGUAGGGGAGACUGGAAUUCCUGGUGUAGCGGUGAAAUGCGCAGAUAUCAGGAGGAACACCGAUGGCGAAGGCAGGUCUCUGGGCUGUUACUGACGCUGAGGAGCGAAAGCAUGGGGAGCGAACAGGAUUAGAUACCCUGGUAGUCCAUGCCGUAAACGUUGGGCACUAGGUGUGG